GAUGAACGCUAGCGGCAGGCUUAACACAUGCAAGUCGAGGGGCAACGAGAGUAGCAAUACUUGUCGGCGACCGGCGCAAGGGUGCGUAACACGUGAGCAACAUACCCAAAUCAGGAGGAUAACCGGAGGAAACUCUGCCUAAUACUCCAUAAUAUCAUCUUAUGGCAUCAUGAAAUGAUAAAAGAUUUAUCGGAUUCGGAUUGGCUCGCGGGACAUUAGCUCGUUGGUGAGGUAACGGCUCACCAAGGCCACGAUGUCUAGGGGUUCUGAGAGGAAGGUCCCCCACACUGGAACUGAGACACGGUCCAGACUCCUACGGGAGGCAGCAGUGAGGAAUAUUGGACAAUGGUCGGAAGACUGAUCCAGCCAUGCCGCGUGAAGGUUACUGUCCUAUGGAUAUUAAACUUCUUUUGUAUUGAGAGCAAUAAGGUGCACGCGUGCACCGAUGAGAGUAUCAUACGAAUAAGC
RNAcentral lists this ribosomal RNA (468 nucleotides) under uncultured bacterium. Its description in RNAcentral is "bacterial SSU rRNA". It matches the Rfam family "Bacterial small subunit ribosomal RNA", at positions 28 to 491 of the family's 1533-position model. The record is from RNAcentral.